This is a long non-coding RNA of Dermacentor silvarum, 1454 nucleotides long. RefSeq lists it as uncharacterized. The transcript has 3 exons. The record is from RefSeq and is a predicted model, not a curated record. Lineage: Eukaryota; Metazoa; Arthropoda; Arachnida; Ixodida; Ixodidae.
UUAUGACCAAGUUUCGCGACAAUGCUGGAUGUCGAAAUUUGCACAAUAAUCAUUGUUUCCAUACUGCCGAGGAAUGCAGUACGGAAACGUAUCAACUAAAACAGCAAUGCCUUUUGCUGCACAUUUUGGAUACCCAAUUUUCAAUACCGGUGGAAGGCACAGAGAUUUCUAGCGAAGAGACUAUGCUUUGUUUCCUGCAAUUCUGCAACAGAAGAUAUGCAAAAUACUGGAAGAAGGCUUUUCUAGACUAUUUAGAUGCCUUACACAAGAUGGCCCACCACCUGCUCAUGGCACCAUUGCCAAGAAUAGGCUCGUGAACACCUACUUUGUCGCACAUGCAGUAGUAAGGAAGAGGUGGUGGCAAGGAUGGUGGCCCCAGCUCGUGCCCUCGUGCUUUAUUCCUGCUUUUAGGUGGCAUCCGCCACCUUGUGUAGGUCAAACUAUAUGUGUGGGGACACGCGCUCUUGCUGAAUCUCGCAUAUCCCCUCUUGCAAGGUGCCCCAUAGCUUGGAACAGAAGGGAACGAAGACACAGCACUGUGUUCUGUCGUCCUGCGUGUUCUCUUGCGCUUACCCUCAAGUUAUGCAGUACCAACUAGCCUACCAGUCUAUUCUCAUGCCCCAUAGUCGACAGUUAAAAUGUUCAUUAGUAAAAUAUAGUCAGGUAAUCAUUGCAUUGGUAAUUGUCAUGCAUAUUUUGAUGCCCGCCACUGGCGCAAAGCUUGGUCAGCAGAAAUAGUCACUUUUUCUCGGGUCCCCUAUAUUUUAAUCAUUUCAGACAGUCAUCAUAAAGAACAUGUAUACUGUCUUAUUCCAAACACAAGACAAAAUGGUCGCAAGAAGAUUGAGAUUUGAUUAACAGUGGCCAGAUUAGGGAAGCCUCAACCACAAGCCAAUGCUUAAACAAGAGUGGCUACAGUAGACAUAAAUCACAAGAAGUUACAUAGUGGAGCACUUUGCAUUGCGCAGGAAGCCAGACUUCUUCAGCAAAACUGCUGCCACUUCCACUCACCAAUGAGUCCAGCGUGCAGCUGGGUCGUCCACAAGCUUGGAAACUUACUCCACAGAAGACGAAGCUUCAAGAAAGAAAAAAGGUCACUACUGCAACCUUUGCCCCUAUGUUGCGAAGAGUUCACCAUCUUUGAGACAACACAUGCUGACUCAUACUGGAGAGAGGCCCUUUGAGUGCACCGUCUGCUUGGCUAGGUUUGCGCAAGUGGGAACACUUUCAAAUCACAUGCGCAGGCACAGUGGAGAAAAACCGUUUCAGUGUGCCCUCUGCCCAUAUAGAUCGGCUACCAGGAGUUCCAUCUUGUACCACAUCAAAAACCACACUGGUGACAAGCCCUUUGCAUGUAACGAGUGCUCUUACGUCACCGCAAACAGAACGGAUCUGGUAAAACAUGUCCGCAUUCAUACAGGCGAAAAGCCAUACAAGUGUAAGGAGUGCUCAUA